AUUGAACGCUGGCGGCAGGCCUAACACAUGCAAGUCGAGCGAGCGGCGGACGUGUGAGUAAUGUAUGGGGAUGUGCCCGAGAGAGGGGGAUAACUACGGGACACGGUGGCUAAUACCGCAUACUAUCGUGUGCACACAUAUGGGAUUAGCGAGUAGGUGGGGUAAAGGCUCACCUAGGCGACGAUCUCUAGCUGGUCUGAGAGGAUGAACAGCCACACUGGGACUGAGACACGGCCCAGACUCCUACGGGAGGCAGCAGUGGGGAAUAUUGCACAAUGGGCGCAAGCCUGAUGCAGCCAUGCCGCGUGUAUGAAGAAGGCCUUAGGGUUGUAAAGUACUUUCAGCGGGGAGGCGUUACCCGCAGAAGAAGCACCGGCUAACUCCGUGCCAGCAGCCGCGGUAAUAC
RNAcentral lists this ribosomal RNA (406 nucleotides) under uncultured bacterium. RNAcentral's name for it is "partial 16S ribosomal RNA". It matches the Rfam family "Bacterial small subunit ribosomal RNA", at positions 30 to 526 of the family's 1533-position model. The record is from RNAcentral.